This 645-nucleotide ribosomal RNA is filed under the name uncultured Lachnospiraceae bacterium. RNAcentral describes it as "bacterial SSU rRNA". It matches the Rfam family "Bacterial small subunit ribosomal RNA", at positions 61 to 724 of the family's 1533-position model. Lineage: Bacteria; Bacillati; Bacillota; Clostridia; Lachnospirales; Lachnospiraceae. The record is from RNAcentral.
UUUAAAUGAGACUUCGGUGGAUUUUAAAUUCUUAGUGGCGGACGGGUGAGUAACGCGUGGGCAACCUGCCCUGUACAGGGGGACAACAGCUGGAAACGGCUGCUAAUACCGCAUAAGCGCACAGCAUCGCAUGAUGCCGUGUGAAAAACUCCGGUGGUACAGGAUGGGCCCGCGUUGGAUUAGGUAGUUGGUGAGGUAACGGCCCACCAAGCCGACGAUCCAUAGCCGACCUGAGAGGGUGACCGGCCACAUUGGGACUGAGACACGGCCCAAACUCCCACGGGAGGCAGCAGUGGGGAAUAUUGCACAAUGGGGGAAACCCUGAUGCAGCGACGCCGCGUGAGCGAAGAAGUAUUUCGGUAUGUAAAGCUCUAUCAGCAGGGAAGAAAAUGACGGUACCUGACUAAGAAGCCCCGGCUAACUACGUGCCAGCAGCCGCGGUAAUACGUAGGGGGCAAGCGUUAUCCGGAUUUACUGGGUGUAAAGGGAGCGUAGACGGCUUUGCAAGUCUGAUGUGAAAGGCGGGGGCUCAACCCCUGGACUGCAUUGGAAACUGUGGGGCUUGAGUGCCGGAGAGGUAAGCGGAAUUCCUAGUGUAGCGGUGAAAUGCGUAGAUAUUAGGAGGAACACCAGUGGCGAAGGCGG